GGCCUGGUGGUGAAGUGGUAACACUGCAGUCUGCAAAGCUGUAACUCGUUGGUUCAAUUCCAGCCCAGGCCU
Molecule: transfer RNA, 72 nt
Filed under: Parcubacteria bacterium C7867-005
Lineage: Bacteria; Candidatus Parcubacteria
Description: tRNA-Cys
Rfam family: tRNA
About the family: Transfer RNA (tRNA) molecules are approximately 80 nucleotides in length.
Source: RNAcentral